This 10015-nucleotide long non-coding RNA is filed under the name Brassica napus (rape). RNAcentral describes it as "long non-coding RNA (BNAP_LNC023415)". The record is from RNAcentral. Lineage: Eukaryota; Viridiplantae; Streptophyta; Magnoliopsida; Brassicales; Brassicaceae.
CCUCAUCAAGGUUUUGUCCCAAUGGGUUUUCCUUGGUGAGGUUUUUAAUGAGGAAGAUCUCAUGGCUGUCCAAGCUUAGACUUUCACAAAGCUAAGCUUGAGGGGGAGUGUUAAGAUAUGGAGAUUAAGUGAAAGGAUCAAGGGUUUACAUGAGAAGAGAGAUCAAAGGAAGAGAUGAAGUAGUUGUGUGAAGUUAAGGUGAAGUGUACGGAUAGGGCAAAGGCCGUACAACUUAGGUACUUUGGGAGGUAAGGCAAAGUUCACAUCUAUCCUAAAGUGGCCAAUGACUCUACAAGAGGAAGAGGCUUUAGGAUAUGACCGUUGGAGGAUAAGGUUGGGACGCGGCUUGAGCUGUUGCUAGCUGUAAAGGCAAAAGGAGCAUCUAGACAAAAAAACCUUUGGCAUCAAGCGUGUAACAGCUCUCAUCCGUUCAUUCAAAUGAGGCGCGCCCCUUCUUGGUUUGACUACACAUGCUUAGUCUUUAGGAUAUGCUUUCACUAUUACAAAACCCUUGUAUGCUGAUCCAUAUAAAUAUGUAAUAUCUCCAUAAUAAUAAACUAGACUGUUCGAAACCAUCUUUCUCUUUACUCAUUCACUAUGAUUCUCCAUUAGUCUCUAAUCAGUCUCUUAAUCUCUUAUUCUCCUUCUCUAAUUCUUUCUAAACUCAGAUUAUUCUUUACAUUCCUAAAAGUCAUAACUAUCACACCUAUCAACAGCACUACUUAAGCACACAGAAUCAAAGGGUUUAGAAUUCUUAGCCAUUUGAAGAUGGUAUAGCUGAUUCUUGCUGUCCCCUCUGCCAAAAACUCUCCCAGUCUUCAAAUCUUGAAACUCUACUUCAUCAGGUCUGAAUACUACUUGACAAUCAAGAUCAAUGGUAGCUUUCUUCACAGAUAACAGAUUUGAAGUGAACCGGGGCAUGUAGAAGGCAGUUGUGUCCUUCUCAAACAGUUUGAGCUUUCCCACUCCUUCUAUUGGGAUCAUAGCAUCAUUAGCUAUCAUAACACUCCCUGUUGCAGCCUUGAUCUCACUUAUAAGUCUCCUAUCACUGAUCAUAUGAUGGCUUGCUCCAGAAUCAAUCACAAUGGGUUUAGGAGCUCCGGAUUGUACACCAUGUUUCUUGCUUGCUGCUAGAGAUUGUACAUGUUCCAUGAACACUCUCCAUUCCUUCCUGGUGAUGCAAUAAUCAGCUCCACCCUCUUUCUCCUGCUCUCUUAACACCACACUUUCUUCUACUGAUUCACCCAUGUAGGCUGAGUAAGAACACUCUCCUCUCACCACUAGUUGCACAGCCUCCUUGAUCAUCUUUAAGCUCAUCUUGUCACUCAGAUAACCAGACUCACUGUCCUUCCUCCAAGCCUUUCUCCUCAUGAACCAUACUUUGGAAAGCUUUCUCAACCUUCCCUUCUUACAGUUUGUAACACCCUUCCACUGAAUUGACUUCUUGUUCUUCUCACACACAUCACAAAUGUAUUGAACAAGCUCACACAUCUCAUUCACAAGAAAGUUAAAGAUAACACCUUGUUCUCUCUUUUCUUGAAUUACCUUUGGCCUUGCUGUAAGCUCCAGCCACACUUCUUUCAGCCUUCCCACAAGCUGAUAAAGCUCAUCCUUUCCUUGUUUCCAGUCACGGAUCACUCUCUUGUCCUCACUGCCCUUCACAAGUUUGGACCUUUUCUUCAUUAGCUGCUUCAAUCCCACUCUUUCUAGUGAUUUCUUGAACAGCUUCAUCUUCAAAAAUAACCAACUCCUUUAAAGGUUCUUCCUUUAUCUGACCAGAUCCAUUCGUUUUCUCUCCCUUUCUUCACUUGAUAACUUGAUCUUGUCUUCAUCUCUCUGCUAAAGUCGUUUGAUUCCAUCAGAUGUCCUCAAUCAAACCCACCAGAUGAAGAACAGAGAUCAAAACCACCAAGUACACUCAAGAACACCAAGAACAGCUCAAGAACACAAACCCAGAUUUUUAAAAACAAGAAUAACACACUCCCACCCUUUUAGUAACCUGGCUCUGAUACCAUAUACACUUUUGUGUAUUAGAGUGUGUAUAAACAAGUUUAAGAACAAUCAGACUGUUUUGUGUAAGAUUAAAGAGAUUAAGAGAAUAAGUAGAAAGAGAAUAGAGAGAAUACUCAAAACUCCAUUAAUUAAUUUAAUGUCUCAGAUACAAGUUAUAUAUGAAGAGAUAAGGCUAAUACAAAGAAGAUUUCGAAAUCCAUAAGCAUGUGAAGUCAAUGGAUAGGCUGUAAAGGUGCUUCACAUGCUUGGACAGGCUGUAAAGGUGCUUUACCUUUCCAGCUAUGCUAGACCUUAUCCAAACUACUCCUUCCUCAUCCAGACUUCCUCUUGGGCGUGCUCCACUCUCCAAAGGGAUGCAAAGUAACUUCCCAUGCUUUUAACUUAGUUACCACAGUCAAUCCAAAGUUACUGUGGUAAAACUCCAAAGUUACUUUCUGCCCCAAUACUCUUCUUCUAUCAAUGUAUCCACUCUUUAUCACCUCAUCUCAACAACUGGAAUCACCUGAUUUGAAAGUGGGAUAACUUCUUCAUCCCAACUCCUAUGAGAUGUUGAGAUGAAGACCAAGAAGUGAAGAGAUGGAGCUUUGGGGAUAAUAGAGUGUUGAGGCUGAGACAGUAACUUGGAGUUUUACCAUGGUAACUUUUAUUUUACCACAGUAACUUUGGAGUGGUAAGAUAAAAGCAUGGGAAGUUACCUUGAACCUAUUUGGAGAAGGGAUCACGUCCAAAGGGGAGCAAGGAGUGGUGUGGAUAAGGUUUGGUCAUAGCUGGAAAGGUGAAGCCACUUUACAGCCAGUCCAAGCAUGUGAAGCAUCUCAGCCUCUUAUCUGUAUUGACCUCACAUGCUUAUAGGUCUGAGUUGAAUUCAUUGAACCUAGACAUGAUUGUAAUCUCUUUAUAUCUUGUAAACAUUGAGAUGAAUUAAUUAAUGGAGUUUUGAGUCUCUCUCUCUAAAAUCUCUCUAUUCUCUCUAAAUUUUACUCUAAUCUUCUCUGAUUAUUAUUAAACACACUCUAAAACACAAAAGUGUUUAUGGUAUCAGAGCCAGGUUGCUCAAAAGGGGGUGAGUGUGUGAUUUCUUUUUCGAAAAUCUGGGUUCUUUCUUGAGUGUUCUUAGUGUUCUUGGUUUUCUUGAGUGUUCGUGGUGAAUCUGGGUUAUGUUCUUCAGUCACUAGGCAUGGAGAUGAAGCACAGAUCUAGUAUUCCAUUGAAGCUUGAAGAGGAAACUGGUGGGAGUUGGUCAAGAUGGGCGAAGGCUGUGUUGAGGAGCUGUGUGUUGUGGAGUAGUCAUAAAAAGGGGAAGCCUUUAAGAGACAUGGCUUCAGAAGCAGGUCAGGCGUGGAGUCUGAAGUAUGAAGAUAGAGUUGUUCAAGAAAACCAUACAAGAUGUGGGAUUGAAGCAGCUCAUGGGAGUAGAUCCGAUCUGAAGAAGGUUUGUGGAGUCAAGAGCUAACACAGACCUGAGGGCAAGCUGAAAUACUUGUGGAGAGAGUUGGAUUUGUUGAGAUCAAGAACAUCAGAUCCGGAGGUGAUUCAAGAAAGGCUGGAGCAAGAUGUAGUCUUGAGCCUUCUAGUGAGUUUAAACUCAUCAUAUGGUCAGCUGAUUAUGCAAGUAGCCAAAGAUGAUGAGCGAGUAGAUGUGGAUGGGUUGUGUGAGCUUGUUCAGUCUUCAUAUAAAGUAUAUGAGAAGGGCAAGAGACUGAUAAGAAUCAGAGAUGGUACAAGGUGUAAGAAGGGAAGAUUGAGGAGACUGUCCAGGACUUGGGUCAUGGUGAGAAAGACUCAGAGGAAGAGUAGACAGUGUGGAUACUUUGAGAAUGAUAUGGAGACAAGCCUGAUAAAGAGUUUGCGCAGCAUGUGGUUAGAGGAGAGUGUUCCUACUCAGCCUAUAUGGAUAGUUCAGUAGAAGAAAGUGUGGUUAUGAAGGGGCAAGGAAGCAAAGGAGCAGAUGAUCCUAUCACAAAGAAAGAAUGGGAUGGGUUUGUCAAGUAUGUGUAUGCUUUGGCUACGACCCGGAGACAAGGUGCUCCUGCCUUAGCAUCCACAUCCAAACCCAUCAUCAUUGAUUCUGGAGCAACACAUCAUCUGAUCAGUGAUAGAAGUCUGAUAAAUGAAGUCAAGGCUGCAACAGGGAGUGUCAUGAUAGCUAAUGGUGCUAGGAUCCCAAUAGAAGGAGUGGGAAACCUCAAGCUGUUUGAGAAGAACUCACCUGCAUUCUAUCUGCCUCAGUUCACUUCAAAUCUGAUAUCAGUGAAGAAGGCCACAGUUGAUCUUGAUUGUCAAGUAGUAUUCAGGCCAAAUGAAGUUGAGUUUCAAGAUUUGAAGACUGGGAGAGUUAUUGGUAGAGGGGACAGCAAGAAUCAGUUAUAUCAUCUCCAAACAGCUAAGACCUCUAACCCUAUUGAUUUUGUAUGCCUUUGUAGUACUGCUGAUAGGUGUGACAGUAUUACUUGGCAUGCUAGAUUAGGACAUCCUCAUGCUCGUGCAAUUGAAUUGAUUAUGCCUAAUAUGUCAUUCAAUCACUUGGAAUGUGAAGCUUGCAUCUUAGGGAAGCAUUGUAGAACUGUUUUUCCCACAUCAGAGACCAUAUAUGCAAAUUGCUUUGAUCUUGUUCAUUCUGAUGUGUGGACAGCCCCUUGUAUGUCUAGAGAAAACCAGAAGUACUUUGUGACAUUCAUAGAUGAUAAGUCUAAGUAUACAUGGAUCACAUUGCUGCCAUCUAAGGAUAGAGUUUUUGAGGCUUUUGUCAACUUCCAAGCAUAUGUAACUAACCAUUACAAUGCUACUGUGAAGGUACUACGGUCUGAUAAUGGAGGAGAAUACACCAGUCAUGCCUUCAAGAAUCACUUGGCUAAACAUGGGAUAGUGCAUCAGACCAGUUGUCCUUACACACCACAUCAGACCUGUUGGCUAAACAACUAGAAUCACCUGAUUUGAAAGUGGGAUAACUUCUUUUUGCCAACUCCUAUGAGAUUUAUUCAACUUCCUGGUGAUUCUCCACCACUUUAUGUAUCCAAAUCAAGCUUCUCACAAAGUGAUUCAUCCGAUUUUGAUUGGAACGACGAUGAAGCUGUGCUAUUCUCAAACUGGGAAACUGGAAUCACCUGAUUUGUAUGAGAUUUAGGAAUGUAAAGAAUAAUCUGAGUUUAGAAAGGAUUAGAGAAGGAGAAUAAGAGAUUAAGAGACUGAUUAGAGACUAAUGGAGAAUCAUAGUGAAAUGAGUAAAGAGAAAGAUUGUUUAGAACUGUCUAAAUCUUAUUAAGGAUGAGCUUACAAUAUAUAUAGGUCCAUACACUUAGGGUUUUCGAAAUCAUAAAGGUUAAGCAAGCAUGUAGAGUCAAAGGAGGAGCUGAUGCUUUAAUUUGAACCGGCCAAUGCUAAUCUUCACACGUUUGGAGCAUCUUCUUGAUCCAAGACUAGAUGCUCUUACUUUCCAGCUCUUGCCAGCCUGUCCUAGCUGUCAAGACGCGCUUCCCUUAUCCUUUCCAACGUUCGGAUAAGGUCUUGGUCGAGUGUAACUUCAACCCGGUACAUGAAGUUACUCGGAGAGUUACUUCAGCUCCUUUUACCUUGUACGGUCAAUGGUACGGCCUCUCCGUCCGUACCAUCCCUAUUAACCCACUCCUUCUCUUAACUCCUUUGCUCCCUUCAUGUCCCUAACUCCUUUGUGUCUUUACCUCAAUUCUCAUGUGUCUCAGCUCAUCUUAACAAUUUGAAAGUAGGAUAACUUCUUCAUCCCAAGUCCUAUAAGAUUUAUUCAACUUCCUGGUGAUUCUCCACCACUUUAUGUAUCCAAAUCAAGCUUCUCACAAAGUGAUUCAUCCGAUUUUGAUUGGAACGACGAUGAAGCUGUGCUAUUCUCAAACUGGGAAACUGGAAUCACCUGAUUUGUAUGAGAUUUAGGAAUGUAAAGAAUAAUCUGAGUUUAGAAAGGAUUAGAGAAGGAGAAUAAGAGAUUAAGAGACUGAUUAGAGACUAAUGGAGAAUCAUAGUGAAAUGAGUAAAGAGAAAGAUUGUUUAGAACUGUCUAAAUCUUAUUAAGGAUGAGCUUACAAUAUAUAUAGGUCCAUACACUUAGGGUUUUCGAAAUCAUAAAGGUUAAGGAUGAGCUUACAAUAUAUAUAGGUCCAUACACUUAGGGUUUUCGAAAUCAUAAAGGUUAAGGAAGCAUGUAGAGUCAAAGGAGGAGCUGAUGCUUUAAUUUGAACCGGCCAAUGCUAAUCUUCACACGUUUGGAGCAUCUUCUUGAUCCAAGACUAGAUGCUCUUACUUUCCAGCUCUUGCCAGCCUGUCCUAGCUGUCAAGACGCGCUUCCCUUAUCCUUUCCAACGUUCGGAUAAGGUCUUGGUCGAGUGUAACUUCAACCCGGUACAUGAAGUUACUCGGAGAGUUACUUCAGCUCCUUUUACCUUGUACGGUCAAUGGUACGGCCUCUCCGUCCGUACCAUCCCUAUUAACCCACUCCUUCUCUUAACUCCUUUGCUCCCUUCAUGUCCCUAACUCCUUUGUGUCUUUACCUCAAUUCUCAUGUGUCUCAGCUCAUCUUAACACUCCCCCUGAAGCUUAGCUUUGUGAAAGCCUAAGCUUGGAUAGCCAUGAGAUCUUCCUCAUUAAAAACCUCACCAAGGAAAACCCAUUGGGAUAAAACCUUGAUGAGGGAAAAAGAGUAAAGACCUCACAGCCAAAGGGGAUCAGCUCCUUCUCUUCCCAAGAUCAAUGAGGCCCAACCUGAUGUGAAUGGACUCCAUUGCCUUUUGUCUCGCAGCCUUAGUGAAAACAUCAGCCAAAUGAUCUUCACUUCUUGUGUAGCAUGGCAAGAUGACUCCUAAGAUGAUAAUCUGCCUCACCUUGUGGCAAUCAACUUCAAUGUGCUUGGUUCUUUCAUGGAACACCGAGUUGGAGGCAAUGUGGAUGGCAGCUUGGUUAUCACAAUGCAUUGUCAUUGGCCUGGCUUGAUCAAUCUCUAAAUGCUUCAAGAUGCCUUUGAUCCACACCAGCUCGUUGAUCAGCUUUAGCAUAGCUCUAUACUCAGCUUCUGCACUUGAACAAGACACCACCUUCUGCUUCUUGCUCUUCCAAGUAACCAAGUUGCCUCCAAUGAAUGUGCAAUAGCCUGUGGUUGAUCUCCUGUCUGCUCUAUCACCAGCCCAAUCUGCAUCACAGUAUCCAACCACUUCAGUGCUCCCAUUGCAACCCAUCCAUACUCCUUGAUCAGGUGAGCCGUUGAUAUACAUCAAGAUUCUCUCCACCAUGCGCCAGUGAUGCUCCUUAGGCACUUGCAUGUGUUGACUCACCUGAUUCACAGCAAAACAAAUGUCAGGCCUAGUUAUGGUAAGAUAAAUAAAUUUGCCAACUAGUUUUCUAUAGAGUUUAGGAUCCUGAUAAGGUUUGCUGUCUUCAAUCUCCCCCUCUCGUGGGACUUUGUAACCAUCAUCCAUAGGCAUCCUUGCUGUCUUGCCUCCAUAAGCACCUGCACCUUUCAAAAGAUCAAGUGUAUACUUCUUUUGGGACAUGAACAAACCUUCCUUGGAUCUACAUAUCUCAAACAUGGAUUUAAGGAACUCCUUGGUUGCUAUGAUACCUUCCUUAUCACUUCCUGUGAUAAUGAUAUCAUCAACAUACACAACGAGUGCAAUCAUACCUGAGGGAGUAGUGAGUGUGAAGAGAGUGUGAUCUAGUUCAGACUUCUUGAAGCCUCGGCCAUUGAGAGUAGUGCUCAGCUUGUUGUACCAAGCUCUUGGUGAUUGCUUCAGCCCAUAGAUAGCUUUCUUCAACCUCAACACAUUCCCUCUCUUCACUAAGUGUUCAAGGCCUGGAGGUGGAUGCAUAUACACUUCAUCCUCAAGUUCUCCUUGUAGAGAGGCAUUCUUCACAUCGAUUUGCCAUUACCCCCAUCCAAGAUUCACAGCCAAGCUUAAUACAAUCCGGAUUGUGUGUAGUUUAGCUGCUGGCGCAAAGGUUUCUGUGUAAUCUUCUCCAUAAGUUUGAGUGAAACCUCUUGCAACUAGCCUUGACUUCUUCCUCUCAAUCUUUCCAUCAGCCUUAUACUUGAUUGUGAAUAUCCAUCUACUAGUCACAGCCUUCUUCCCCUUUGGUAACUCACUCUCAUACCAUGUAUCAUUCUUGAUCAUAGCUCCUGCCUCAGCUCCAACUGACUCCUUCCAUUCUUUAUCCAUUAUUGCCUCUUCAUAGCUUCUUGGGAUGUAGUUCUCAUCCAAGUUAACCAUGAAGGCACAAUGUUCUUCAGGGUAUUGAGCAAAGGAACACACAGCUUGAGAAGGAUGCUCCACAGCUUGGGCAUUGUAGUACACUCGCGUGUUUACCCAAGAGGAAGGAUCCUUUCUCAGCCUUGUGCUUCUCCUCAAUACUGGUUGUUCUUGCUCUUGAACCGGCUCAGCUUGUGUAUGCGGUUCUUGUGCUUCACUCUGAUGUUCUUCAUGUCUUUGGUCUUGCUCACCUUGAUGAUGAGAACCUGAGUUGAACUCUUCUCCUUCCUCACUCAAGCCGACUCCUUCUUGGCCAUUUUCUUGAGUUUCAGGUUCACUUCUCCCCUCAUGAUCAAGGUGAGGUGUUUGAGCGGCUCUACUUGGUUCAGUUGAGCUCUCUUCUUGGCUUCCACUUCUUGUGGACUGAUCCUGGUUCAUCUUGAUACCGAGACCUUCUAAAAUGAUCCUUAAGACUCCAGCCUUAUCUGAUGUGAGAUCCUUCAAAUCUUCUUGAUUCUUCUCCUCAUAGUAUCCCCUUUCUUCAAUAAACUUCACAUCUCUGGAUACAAGCACCCUUCUAGCUUCUGGAUCAUAACACUUAUAUCCUUUUUUGAGUUGUUGAGUAGCCAAUGAACAUUGCCUUUUUGCUUCUUGCUUCUAGCUUGUUCCUCAACUCUCCUGGUACUAGAACAUAGCAUAAGCAUCCAAACACUCUCAUGUAUUCCAAGGAUGGCUUGCGCUUGUUCAAAACUUCAAAUGGUGCUUGAUCCUUCAACACCUUUGUAGGCAUCCGGUUGAUUAGAUAGCAAGCAGUGGAUACAGCAUCACUCCAGAAUCUCUUAGGUACAUUGGCUUGGAACAUCAGUGACCGAGCCACCUCCAUCAAGUGACUGUUCUUCCUCUCAGCUACACCAUUCUGUUGUGGUGUGUAGGGACAGCUUGUUUGAUGAAGGAUUCCAUGAUGAUCUAGAUGACUCUUGAACGCAUAGCUUGUGUACUCUCCUCCAUUAUCUGAUCUCAAAAUUUGAAUCUUAGCAUGAUAAUGGUUAGUCACAUAAGCUUGAAAGUUCUUAAAUGCAUCUAUCACCCUAUCUUUUGAUGCAAUUAGUGUUAACCAGGUGUAUUUAGAUUUUUCAUCAAUGAAUGUGACAAAAUACUUAUGAUUAUCUCUAGAUAAGCUAGGUGCAGUCCACACAUCAGUAUGAAUCAAAUCAAAACAAUUUUCAUAGACAGUAGAUGUUCUUGGAAACACAUUCUUACAAUGCUUGCCUAAAAUGCAAGCUUCACACUUAUUAUUUUCAAAAACCACACCUGGUAACAUCAAGUUCAAAGCCCUCUCAUGGGGAUGUCCUAAUCUAGCAUGCCACAAUGCAUUUUUAUUCAAACUAGAAGCAGAAGUAAAUGAGCAGUUAUAAUUGGAAACAGGAUCAAGCUUCUCAAGCAUGUAUAAGUCUCCCUUUGUAACUCCUUUUCCAAUCAAUUGGCUGCUCUCUGUUGAAGAGAAGUCUUGAGAGGUUAAGAAGGAGCUUAGGAGGAAUGGAGAAGGUUGGGUAAGGUGUGUCCGUACAAGGCAAGGCCGUACAAGGCCGUACUACUUGGCCGUACACACUUACCUCAGCUACGGUUAAGCCAAGAGUUACUUGAGUGACUUACCGUGAUAAGAAGAAGCACUGAUCACUCACCUGAAGGAUCAGACCGUUACCAAAGGAAGAAGGAGCGUGUGACGGCCUGUCUUGAGCUGGAAAGGAGAAGGCAUAAAGCAAAGAUGCCUCACACACGCGGUCACUCCCAUUGGA